Molecule: ribosomal RNA, 497 nt
Filed under: uncultured bacterium
Lineage: Bacteria
Description: partial 16S ribosomal RNA
Rfam family: Bacterial small subunit ribosomal RNA
Source: RNAcentral
GAUGAACGCUGGCGGCGUGCCUAAUACAUGCCAGUCGAGCGAACAGACGAGGAGCUUGCUCCUCUGACGUUAGCGGCGGACGGGUGAGUAACACGUGGAUAACCUGCCUAUAAGACUGGGAUAACUUCGGGAAACCGGAGCUAAUACCGGAUAACAUGUUGAACCGCAUGGUUCAACAGUGAAAGACGGUCUUGCUGUCACUUAUAGAUGGAUCCGCGCCGCAUUAGCUAGUUGGUAAGGUAACGGCUUACCAAGGCAACGAUGCGUAGCCGACCUGAGAGGGUGAUCGGCCACACUGGAACUGAGACACGGUCCAGACUCCUACGGGAGGCAGCAGUAGGGAAUCUUCCGCAAUGGGCGAAAGCCUGACGGAGCAACGCCGCGUGAGUGAAGAAGGUCUUCGGAUCGUAAAACUCUGUUAUUAGGGAAGAACAAAUGUGUAAGUAACUAUGCACGUCUUGACGGUACCUAAUCAGAAAGCCACGGCUAACUACGUG